RNAcentral lists this long non-coding RNA (1147 nucleotides) under Monodelphis domestica (gray short-tailed opossum). RNAcentral's name for it is "lncRNA (ENSMODG00000040886.1)". The record is from RNAcentral. Lineage: Eukaryota; Metazoa; Chordata; Mammalia; Didelphimorphia; Didelphidae.
AUGUGGAGAAUAAUCCCAACUGUGAAAAGUGCUACUGGGGUGGAAAAGUACAGAAUAAUUUUGACAAAGGGCAAUCUCCUUGUUGCUCGUAGAAGAAAGCCGAGUUGGAUUGUGGAAUUUAACUUAAUGGCUGUGAUGCACAAUUGAUACUUUGUCUGGAUUUUAGUGAUCUCUUCUUACAUUUGGCUUCCUAAAUCAACUUCAUAUCUUCAACAGUCAAAGUUGUGCAUUAAACUUCUUUGUAUCUUUGAUCAAUAGUGGUGCUGAAUUGUUUUUUGAGGGGGUUGGGGGUUGUUAAUUCAUUCUUAUUAGACAUGGAUAUCUUUUUACACAUUUGAUUUUAUUUAUAAUCUAAUCAAAAGGCUCAUAUAUAUUAAGUUUAUUUGGCAACAUCAUAAUCUUUUAAAAAAGAAACAGAAAUUAGGCAUAGUUGUGUUCAUAAAGUGUUUUGUGGAGACUCAAAGAAGUCUUAGAUUUCACUUUGUCCAACCCAGGUACAAAAAGAAUCCCCACAAUAGUAUACCAAAUAAUUGAUUGUUCAAGGUUGAAUGGGACUUGCUUCUUAAAAGAUAGAGUUCUGUUGUUCUUCCUUAAGUGUUUCUUUUUAUUAUUAUAAAAGAUCACAUACCCCUAUUUCCUUUCAUUGAUAAAAGGUAUACAAUUCAAGGAAGAAGACUUGGAUGAUCAAGUUAUUGUUUUAGUUCAAUGACAUUCUGCAAAGAACUGAGAGCUUAAUGUUUCACCAAGGUAAUGUAUUUAGAAAUAUUGAAUCUGACCUGUCAUUCUUUGUUUUAUUGAGGUUAAUUUAUCAUUAUAACUAUAGCAGCUUUAUUUUGGAUACUUCAAGAUCCUUAAUACUGAUGUCUUGACUUUUUUUGUAAUGGAAGAAGCUAAAUUUUCAGAUAACCUUCAGUAACUGAAUGAUAUCUGUCCAACUCAGCCCUGUCAUUUCCUAAAAUGGUGCUAUUUUUUAUUCCUUGCCUUGUCAGACAGGUUUAGAGAACAAUGCACCAUUGUCCUUUAAAGAAGUCACUUAUAUUUUGAUCCAACAUCUACUUACAUUUGUCAGAAUUGGUGAUUUUUUUUAACCUUUUGUUAUGACACUGACUAACUGUUCUCAGAUGUCUGGCUUUGUUCCCGGAUGUUA